AGGUUAAGUUAGAAAGGGCGCACGGUGAAUGCCUUGGCACUAGGAGCCGAUGAAGGACGGUACUAAC
RNAcentral lists this ribosomal RNA (67 nucleotides) under Cytobacillus firmus. RNAcentral describes it as "partial 23S ribosomal RNA". Lineage: Bacteria; Bacillati; Bacillota; Bacilli; Caryophanales; Bacillaceae. The record is from RNAcentral.